AACGCACGAGACCUGCGGACCUGCGGAAGGAUCAUUACCGAGUUUACAACUCCCAAACCCAAUGUGAACGUUACCAAACUGUUGCCUCGGCGGGAUCUCUGCCCCGGGUGCGUCGCAGCCCCGGACCAAGGCGCCCGCCGGAGGACCAACCAAAAACUCUUCUGUAUACCCCCUCGCGGGUUUUUUAUACCUGAGCCAUCUCGGCGCCUCUCGUAGGCGUUUCGAAAAUGAAUCAAAACU
Molecule: unclassified non-coding RNA, 240 nt
Filed under: soil metagenome
Description: partial contains 5.8S ribosomal RNA, internal transcribed spacer 2, and large subunit ribosomal RNA
Source: RNAcentral